This 601-nucleotide small RNA is filed under the name uncultured bacterium. Its description in RNAcentral is "bacterial SSU rRNA". The stretch from base 1 to 383 matches the Rfam family "Bacterial small subunit ribosomal RNA", at positions 1156 to 1533 of the family's 1533-position model. The record is from RNAcentral.
UGAUAAUCCGGAGGAAAGAUGGGGACGACGUCAAGUCAUCAUGCCCCUUAUGUCCAGGGCUGCACGCAUGCUACAAUGGCAAGUACAACGAGUCGCAAUACCGCGAGGUGGAGCAAAUCUCUUAAAGCUUGUCUCAGUUCGGAUAGGAGUCUGCAACUCGACUCCUUGAAGUUGGAGUCGCUAGUAAUCGCAAAUCAGCAAAGUUGCGGUGAAUACGUUCUCGGGGUUUGUACACACCGCCCGUCAAGUCACGGAAGUCGGCAAUACCCGAAGCCAGUGGUCUAACCCUUUUAGGGAAGAAGCUGUCGAAGGUAGGGUCGGUAACUGGGACUAAGUCGUAACAAGGUAGCCGUACGGGAACGUGCGGCUGGAUCACCUCCUUUCUAAGGAGCAUAGAACUUCGGUUCUAAGGUCAAUCGUCGGUUGUCUACAAGACUGAUACUUUACUCAGCUGUGAAAAAGUCAAAUUGGCUUUUUGAAAAUUGUAUAGCAAGCGCAAUUGCAAAGUAUUCAUAUAGUUCAAGCUACUAAGGGCUAUUGGUGGAUGCCUUGGCGCUGGAAGCCGAUGAAGGACGUGGAAGACUGCGAAAAGCUACGGGAA